ACGAACGCUGGCGGCGUGCUUAACACAUGCAAGUCGAGCGGUAAGGCCUUCGGGUACACGAGCGGCGAACGGGUGAGUAACACGUGGGUGAUCUGCCUCGCACUUCGGGAUAAGCCUGGGAAACUGGGUCUAAUACCGGAUAUGACCGACUGGUGCAUGCUGGUUGGUGGAAAGAUUUAUCGGUGCGAGAUGGGCCCGCGGCCUAUCAGCUUGUUGGUGAGGUAACGGCUCACCAAGGCGACGACGGGUAGCCG
Molecule: ribosomal RNA, 254 nt
Filed under: Nocardia sp. ISOM511_OTU5274
Lineage: Bacteria; Bacillati; Actinomycetota; Actinomycetes; Mycobacteriales; Nocardiaceae
Description: partial 16S ribosomal RNA
Rfam family: Bacterial small subunit ribosomal RNA
Source: RNAcentral